CCGUCAAUCAUCAUUGCAACACAUGAUCCCUAGGUGGCGGUAAUGUACAAUUCAGCACAGAAGAAGAAGAGGAGGAGGCGCUGGGGGAGAAAAAGCAAGGAAGAAGAGUGUUAAUGGUGUUUACUGCUCAUCCGGAGAGUCACCGCCAUCUUUCUGCAGGGGGUUAGAAGUCAAUGGUGCAACAAGGUAUCUGGACUAGAUGACCUCUAUCUGGCCUUUGAUUAGGCCUACUGCAUCUUCUGAUGGAGAUGUAAAACGAAGUGCGUGAGUUUAAAAGACCCGUGUGUUCCUGUAGUUGUUGGCAGCUCAGCGGGCGAGACGUGCGGCUCUGAUCGCUCGGAUCAAUAGUCUAAGGCUGGAAGUUCAAUGCAUAGGCCGAGAAGAAGGACAGGGUGAAGGAAAUGCGCCAUACCGUGGCGUAGGGCACGGCCAACAGGCUGCAGCUCCAGAUCCGGCGGUGUUGAGAGCUCAGUGGAGGAUACGUUUGGCUCGGAUCAGGAGGAUCCUUAGGCUCUUGCCGGAGUUUCUGCGCAUGUGGUUCAUUACGCACCGGUUUCACUGAUUGCAUUUAAUGUGCAGCCGAGAAGGAGGACAUGGUGACGGAAGGUGAGUUGCAUGAUGGCAGGCUGAUCGCCGAUCAGAAGGUACUACACUGAAAUACUCCACCCCGGUCAGAAUAACUCUUCUGCACUGUAGCUUUGAAGAUAGAAGUUGUUUUAGUUUGAGAUGGCGUCGUCACCCUCAGGUUCGAGUUUAAAGCAGAAGAAGCGUUACAGGAACUUGUCGUUAAUAUCUCACUGUGACCUGAAAGCUGCUUGUUGGAUGUUUAAUGUAAGAUUAGAAAGUUCAGCUCGUUUAUCUCCUCUCAGGUGUGUGUAAAAGAGAACCUGGCUGUGUCCUUGCAGUGUGUGAUUUCUAUUUCG
Ictalurus furcatus (blue catfish) is the source of this 923-nucleotide long non-coding RNA. RefSeq lists it as uncharacterized. NCBI's taxonomy places the organism in Eukaryota, Metazoa, Chordata, Actinopteri, Siluriformes, Ictaluridae. The record is from RefSeq and is a predicted model, not a curated record. The transcript is spliced from 5 exons.